This 196-nucleotide long non-coding RNA is filed under the name Dasypus novemcinctus (nine-banded armadillo). RNAcentral describes it as "lncRNA (ENSDNOG00000052652.1)". Lineage: Eukaryota; Metazoa; Chordata; Mammalia; Cingulata; Dasypodidae. The record is from RNAcentral.
GAACUGCCCAAAGUGAAGUCAAACUCAGGAGCUGAGAAAACAGAGUCACCGUGAGGCGAUGGGAAAUUGUCUCCUGAGAGAAGUCAGGAAGGAAACGACCAUAUUUGAGAGUCAAAAUCAAGGUCAAGCUAAGAAAAGUAAGUCAUUUCUUCCUAAUAUUUUUCAUUCUAGGGAUGUUGUAAAUUUAAAUAUACAA